AUUGCUCUGUGGGUCCCAAGAUCCGGACUUAGAGGACGCGGGGAGGGCGGGGCGGCGCCCGGCUUCCGGGUAGUGGCAGGGGGGGGCGCGCGGCCCCUUGCGGGUCGGUGCCUCUGGGCCCAAGCCCCGAGCCUCCUACAGGGGCGGCCCCCUGCCUGAGGCGCGGGUGGGUUCCGACCUCCGAGAGCCGGUCUGGAAGCACUGAGGGGCCCCUACUUUUGCCCCCGAAGUCAGCGGGGCAACAGCCGCUCCCUUGCAGGAGCCGGGCCGUGGGCGGAGGGCCCCGGUGGGUGAGAUCGGUGACCCCCGAAAACUCCGACCAAAGAGCUGCAGCAAGAAAGGAGUUGGUUCCCACAAACCGCCCAGAGUCAAGGAACUAAAAUCAGUCUGAUGGCAGCUGCACAAGAUGGGAAGGAGUAAUCCUUGAAAUUAGACCAAGGAAGCACGUGAAGUGUGUUUGCUCUCAGCCACCAGCCUCAGAAGAGCUCAAGUCCAGGUAGGGUACAUUUUACCUGAGAUCUACUCUGGGGUGUCUUCCCUUGGUCACAGCCUGCUCCCAGGCACUCCUGGUGAGUUGGGUCUCUUUCCUACAUGUUGUGUAGCAUUAUUGUCCCAUAUUCACAGUGAGCUGUCAGAUUCCCAUGAGCAGAAGCCUGUUUCUGAAGCAUCCAAUCAGUCUAGAAAUAAUAGUCUAGUUAUCUGAUUUUUCACAGCUCUUUGCCUUUUCCUUGCACUGAGGAGUUAGGUAGCUAACUUUAUUCACAUCAAACAGCUAUGGAAGUUAAAGUUAUCUCAGAUUCGGAGCUAUAGACAUUACUUAAGAAGCGCUGUGGUUCUUUAAGUAUAUUCACGUCAUAAGCACUCAGCAAACCAGGUUAUUCAAGAAUCCUCUUAUCUCAGAAAGCUGAUUACAUUAUAUAAAUUAUCAAGGCAUUUAUUUCAAAGAUACUGAGAAAAAUCAGAGCAUUCUUGUCAGGUGUCUGUGGCACUUUGGCACUUGACCCCAACAUUCUUAAACAUCCUCUCAUCAAGAGCAAGAGUGCCCCACACGCUUCUCUGAACCAGGAUGAGCCAGUGACUGCUUUGACCAAUUAAGUAUGAUAGAAAGGUUGCUAUGUGACUUUUCAGGCUGGAUCUGAAAAAGCCAUGCCAGUUUUGCUUUCUUUUCUUUGGAUACUUGCUCUGAGAGAAGUCUGCUGCCACAUAGAGUGUAUCUCCCCUAAGAAAGUCAUGCUGGAAAGGCCUUCUGGUCACAGCCCUGCUCAGCUUCCAGCAACAGCCAGCAUCCACUGCCAGCCAUGUGGACAGGCCAUCUUGGGUGUCCCCAGAUGUGUUGACGACUCAGCUCAGUGGAGCCUUCAGAUUGUUGCAGUCUCCACCAACAUCUGACUGCAACCUCUUGAGAAAUGCCUUGUGACAGCAAAGCAGCCAAGCCCUUCCGUAACUCAUAACCCACAAAAUCAUUUAAAAAGAUCGUUUUUAACAAAUUGGUUUUCGGUUCAUACCACUAAAGUUUUAGGGCAAUUUGUUUUACAGUGCCAUUGGGAAAGAAGUUUCUCCCCUUUGACACACCUCCUCACCAUUCCAGCUGCUCACUUUCACUUCUGAGUGUUUGUGCUGUAGUUGCUUCAGUCCAUAUCUUCUUGGGUUUAUCUUUUCAUACUUUACACAUAUACACACACAGCCACAUAGGCACAGCCACCCACAUAGAAAAUUGAUCACUUGGCUCAGUUCUACUCCCCAGAUGACUUCAUUCAGACCUCAUUUUUCAGCUGGGAAAAAAAAAAAAAAAAAAAA
RNAcentral lists this long non-coding RNA (1797 nucleotides) under Sus scrofa (pig). RNAcentral's name for it is "lncRNA (ENSSSCG00005011123.1)". The record is from RNAcentral. Lineage: Eukaryota; Metazoa; Chordata; Mammalia; Artiodactyla; Suidae.